GUAUGUUUAUUAAAUAUUUGUUGAGCUCCAAUCAUAUGGUAGCAUUGUGGAACAUUUAAGUGUGGUUCUUGUCCUUGUUUUCUUAUUAUCUUCUUUGGUUUUUUUCUUAACAGAUCUGACUAGCUCCUGCAGCUUUGAAAAAGAAUUUAAAGCCCAUAAAUUUCACAAAUCCUAAGCAAAGAAGCAUAUAUUAGUUCUUCAAAGCAUAUUGGUAUAUUUUUUAACUGCGGAUUUUAGCUUUCAUGUGAUAAAAGUUUUAGUGAUUUCCUUACCAUGUCUUGUUAAGGCUUAAGUUCCUCAUUUACAUAUUUGAUGUCUCUCAGGAGACAGACAAGCUUCAAGUUAAUUAUCUAUGUAGCUGUAAGAACUCUUGUUUCCUGGUUAAGAACUCUCCAAAAGAAAACUAAUAGUUAUUAAAUGUUACACUGAGUCACCAAAAGUAAUCAGGAUACACAAUGAGAGGCACUAAACAGGCACUUAAAUUUAAUAAAAACCUCAACUUUUUGUAAGAUAAAUGAAAUAUAAAUCAAUUAAAUCUCUUACAGUAAUUUUCAGGGAAAACAGCCAGCAGACACCAAACAGCUAAAAUCUCUGCUCUAGAAAGUGAUUAGGCACUGCUGGAGGCUUGAGGAAAUUACUGUAAAAUUCUGGAUAUAGACCCAUUGAACUAAGAUUUGUAAUGGAGUUGUAAUUAAAGAAAUGCCACAUCAAAAGAAAUGUUAGUGUUUCCCACACCGAGUGCGGAUAACAUAUGUGGACCAAAAUGAUCAUCUUUGAAUCUGCAAGUCUGUUAAGGAGCAGUUUCAUGGAAUGAUAACAAGAAAGAGAAGAAAGAAGGGCAAGCAUAAGAUAGACUUGAGUUGCAGUUGGGAAAUUGGAACCACAGCUAUCAGGAGGAGCCACAACUCUGCAGACCAGGAUUCCUGGAGUCUCACCCUUCUCAAUCAAUGCUGCAAGAAAACAAGGCCAGAGGUGAUCUGAAUCAGGGACCAGAUGCUUGGAGUUGGACUGAAGCUUUUACCCCAGCUUCCUUCCAAAAUGUAUCAUCCUAAAACUUUUGGAUAAAAUUAGUAAAACUUACUACAUACCCAUCAUAAAUAAAGUCCGUAAUGUAAGAGCUUAUCAUGUUAUAAAAAAUAGCUCUGUAGAAAAGCUUUUCACAUCUGAUGGCUAAUUAUAUAACAAAAUUUAAUAAAAUUUAUUAAACCUG
Non-coding RNA from Leptonychotes weddellii (Weddell seal), 1210 nucleotides. The record is from RefSeq and is a predicted model, not a curated record. NCBI's taxonomy places the organism in Eukaryota, Metazoa, Chordata, Mammalia, Carnivora, Phocidae.